RNAcentral lists this ribosomal RNA (253 nucleotides) under uncultured bacterium. Its description in RNAcentral is "partial 16S ribosomal RNA". It matches the Rfam family "Bacterial small subunit ribosomal RNA", at positions 524 to 776 of the family's 1533-position model. The record is from RNAcentral.
UACGUAGGGGGCAAGCGUUGUCCGGAAUCAUUGGGCGUAAAGCGCGCGUAGGCGGCCCGGUAAGUCCGCUCUGAAAGUCCAGGGCUCAACCCUGGAAAGCGGGUGGAUACUGCCGGGCUAGAAUCCGGAAGAGGCGAGUGGAAUUCCUGGUGUAGCGGUGGAAUGCGCAGAUAUCGGGAGGAACACCAGUGGCGAAGGCGGUUACCUGGAGCUUUGCUGACGCUGAUGCGCGAAAGCGUGGGGAGCGAUCCGG